This 405-nucleotide ribosomal RNA is filed under the name uncultured bacterium. RNAcentral describes it as "partial 16S ribosomal RNA". It matches the Rfam family "Bacterial small subunit ribosomal RNA", at positions 30 to 526 of the family's 1533-position model. The record is from RNAcentral.
AUUGAACGCUAGCGGGAUGCUUUACACAUGCAAGUCGAACGAGAGGCGGACGGGAGAGUAAUAUAUCUGAAUGUGCCCAGUAGCGGGGGAUAACUACCCGAAACAGUGGCUACUACCGCAUAAUAUUGGAGCGGCCGAAAUCGCAUUAGCUAGUUGUUGGGGGAAAGGCUCACCAAGGCAACGAUCCGUAGCUGGUUUGAGAGGACGACCAGCCAAACUGGGACUGAGACACGGCCCAGACUCCUACGGUAGGCAGCAGUGGGGAAUUUUUGACAAUGGGGGAAACCCUGAUCCAGCCAUCCCGCGUGUAUGAGAAGGCCUUCGGGUUGUAAAGUACUUUAGGCAGAGAAGCGGUAUCUGCAGAAUAAGCACCGGCUAACUACGUGCCAGCAGCCGCGGUAAUAC